Molecule: long non-coding RNA, 1761 nt
Organism: Rhododendron vialii
Lineage: Eukaryota; Viridiplantae; Streptophyta; Magnoliopsida; Ericales; Ericaceae
Exons: 3
Source: RefSeq, a predicted model, not a curated record
UUUUAAUUCAGUAGAUUCCAAAUCAAAUAUACUCCUAAUUAGAGUGUGUAGAUGGCGAUAUUACGAAUUUUUAAUUUUCGUUAAGUUGUUUGAUGUAGUUAUGAAUAAGGGUGUACGGUUAGAUAAGUAAUAAAGUUAUAAGUACAUAAUUAUACUUAAUUAGGUACGGAAUUUAUAGUUAGUGACGAACUUUAUGAUUCAUGAGUUGUGUGUGUAGAAGUGUUUGUUGGAGAACGUGCUAUUCUGGUCUAGUCCGGAUCUUCUCCAAUCCCUUCAAAUGGAUUAAAGAGAACAAUUGCAGCCCGGGAAAACUAUUUACGACCAUACUUAAAUGAUCGAGACCGUUCAUUUUUUUUAGAGUAAUAAAUGAAGAGAGAAAUAUAAACAAUUUAUAAGAGACCGUGCUAGGGGUUUUGAGAUCCGAAAACAAACAAGGCCUAAAAAAUCAAAUUUAUUGGAUAUCCUUUGAUAUGAUUUUGGAACAUAUUUAUCUUGCAAAAACUUAGAUUGCAGCACUGGUACAAAACCUGUUUCUAUUCUUUUUGCUAUAUGAAUGUGUUUUGAAAUCGUAUCAAACAAUAAUCGAUCAACUUGCUCUCAAUGAGUUCAAGAAUAGGACCAGUCCCGAUCAUUGAAUGUGAGAUCGAAAAGAUUUUUUCCGGGCCGGAAUGGGAGAAAUUGUUCUCUCCAAUCUAUAUAUAUACACGAAGGAAUUGGAGAGGAGUGGGACUCAUUCUGGUCAGUUACGAAUGAGUGUUUGCGGUGCGUACCGAUCGAAAUGUCAUGCUUUAUUUUGGCUAGUUACUUACUUCCUCCGUCCCAAUUUGUUUGUCCAAUUGUCGAAAUUUGUGUCUUUCAAAAUUAUAUUUAUAUCUUACAUUUUAUGAUUUUGAAGAUUUUGUAUAGUAUAAUUAUUUGAGAUCUACCAAAUAAGAUCCAUAUUGCAUCUUAAAAACAUUACGAAUUGAAAAUUAUAAACAAUUUUUUUAAAGAUCAAACACUCUCAAAAAAUCAAAAAAAUGGACAAACAAAUCAAGACCGAUGGAGUAGUUUGUAAUUGCUAGGCAUGGGGGCUUGGUCUGCCUUGCAAUACAGUACUAGUAUUUAUGUGUCGGUCAUGUGCAUGGGGUCCAAUGUUGAUGUUGGUUCUUUUUUUUUUUUUUUGAUCAGCUUGAUGAGUGGUUCUUGAUCCAAUAUUUAUUUCAAUAUCGGGUAUGAAUAAGCUUUAUGUGAUCCUAAAACACAUGACUAUUAUUUACUCCCUAGGUUAGAGAUUAUAAAUACAAGGUUAGUGCCUACCCUCAUUAAUCACUGCAAAGGUAAGAGGAGAGAAAAUUUUAUUUCUGUAGGUUGGUUGGGGAUCACGUGGUCUAUUGCCACCACAAUCACAAGGUGUAAGACCUCUGUUUUGCUUUUUUUAAUAAUUGAAGGCGUCGGAGUCGGCUAACACAUAUUUUGAUUAAUUUUUGAGAACCAAUUUCGUCAUUUACCAGUGGGGCCAGCCGAUAGAGCCAGGUCAAUAGGCCCAUAACCCCACAAGAAUUGAUGAUACCAAUUUCAAAUCUCAAACCAAGAAGAAACGAACGACCUUGUUCGGUUGUGAGAUUUGGAAUUUGAAUUUUAGAUUCUUUCUCCAUUUUUUAUCUUUAUUUUUAAUUAUUACUCUCAUCUCUCUCUCUCUCUCUCUCUCUCUCUCUCUCCAAUCAUUAUUCAUGUUUCCAAUUAUUAUUCUUUUCUCUCUACACUCAUUACCUACAAAUC